GGCGGCGUGCUUAACACAUGCAAGUCGAGCGGAAAGGCCCCUUCGGGGGUACUCGAGCGGCGAACGGGUGAGUAACACGUGAGCAACCUGCCCCUGACUUUGGGAUAAGCCCGGGAAACUGGGUCUAAUACCGGAUAUGACCACUUCGCGCAUGUGGGGUGGUGGAAAGUUUUUCGGUUGGGGAUGGGCUCGCGGCCUAUCAGCUUGUUGGUGGGGUGAUGGCCUACCAAGGCGACGACGGGUAACCGGCCUGAGAGGGCGACCGGUCACACUGGGACUGAGACACGGCCCAGACUCCUACGGGAGGCAGCAGUGGGGAAUAUUGCGCAAUGGGCGGAAGCCUGACGCAGCGACGCCGCGUGGGGGAUGACGGCCUUCGGGUUGUAAACCUCUUUCAGCAGGGACGAAGGGUGACUGACGGUACCUGCAGAAGAAGCGCCGGCUAACUACGUGCCAGCAGCCGCGGUAAUACGUAGGGCGCAAGCGUUGUCCGGAAUUAUUGGGCGUAAAGAGCUCGUAGGCGGUUUGUCGCGUCUGUCGUGAAAGCCCACGGCUUAACCGUGGGUCUGCGGUGGAUACGGGCAGACUAGAGGCAGGUAGGGGAGAAUGGAAUUCCCGGUGUAGCGGUGAAAUGCGCAGAUAUCGGGAGGAACACCGGUGGCGAAGGCGGUUCUCUGGGCCUGUACUGACGCUGAGGAGCGAAAGCGUGGGGAGCGAACAGGAUUAGAUACCCUGGUAGUCCACGCCGUAAACGUUGGGCGCUAGGUGUGGGGUUCUUCCACGGAUUCCGCGCCGUAGCUAACGCAUUAAGCGCCCCNCCUGGGGAGUACGGCCGC
This 836-nucleotide ribosomal RNA is filed under the name Actinomadura sp. IM-6891. Its description in RNAcentral is "bacterial SSU rRNA". It matches the Rfam family "Bacterial small subunit ribosomal RNA", at positions 38 to 889 of the family's 1533-position model. Lineage: Bacteria; Bacillati; Actinomycetota; Actinomycetes; Streptosporangiales; Thermomonosporaceae. The record is from RNAcentral.